This 274-nucleotide ribosomal RNA is filed under the name uncultured bacterium. RNAcentral describes it as "partial 16S ribosomal RNA". It matches the Rfam family "Bacterial small subunit ribosomal RNA", at positions 523 to 796 of the family's 1533-position model. The record is from RNAcentral.
AUACAGAGGGUGCGAGCGUUAAUCGGAUUUACUGGGCGUAAAGCGUGCGUAGGUGGUUGGGUAAGUCAGAUGUGAAAGCCCCGGGCUUAACCUGGGAACUGCAUUUGAUACUGCCUAGCUAGAGUUUGGUAGAGGGAAGUGGAAUUCUAGGUGUAGCGGUGAAAUGCGUAGAUAUCUGGAGGAACACCAGUGGCGAAAGCGGCUUCCUGGACCGAAACUGACACUGAGGCACGAAAGCGUGGGGAGCAAACAGGAUUAGAAACCCCGGUAGUCC